This 2886-nucleotide ribosomal RNA is filed under the name Triticum aestivum (bread wheat). Its description in RNAcentral is "partial small subunit ribosomal RNA". Lineage: Eukaryota; Viridiplantae; Streptophyta; Magnoliopsida; Poales; Poaceae. The record is from RNAcentral.
AUGGGGUGUUUCCGGCGAUGUAGGAAUGGACAAGGAGAUGAAACAACAGCUACAACAACGAGAAACAACAAGAAACAAGCCCGCCACUAUUUGGCUUCUGCUUGUGCUAACAAUAAUCUAAGCAGUGAACUAGUAUAUGAUAGUAAAGCUAGCCUUGGACGUUAUUGGUCCCGCUCAUUAUUUUUUCCAGCCUCGGAAACACCUUCAGAAAUAGCAGGAUGGGUAGCCUCACCCUUCAUCAGCAGGCUAGUUGAUAAGGUGUGCUCCUAUGCUGGAGAUCAGGGGCAAAAUACAACGGAAAAACUAAGAAUCGUGGAGAAGAAACUAUCAUCAAUCCAAAUAACGUUGAGCAUAGCUGAGAGAGUGCAAGCUAGGAACACAACCAUGGGAAGCUGGCUACAGAGAAUCAAAGAUGCUGCUUUUCAGGCUGAGGAUGUUCUUGAUUCAUUUCACUGUCUAGUUCUUCAAGCACAAGAUGAAGACAAGGGCAAGGUUAGUUCUGUUACUUCACCCACAGCUGGUUCUUCCUCUACAUCCACAACCGUCACCACCACUGCUUCUACCAUCACUAGCAGCGGCUCAGCGGUAAAACAGCCGAUUUGUGUACGCAAGCGCUUCCAUUUCUCCGAUGAACAUAUCAACGAGUUAAUUUCUGCAGUGGAUAGAUUAGUUGAGAUUGAAAGUGAGAUGCCCAUGUUCCUGAAGUUAGUGGAGCCAGAGGACAAGAGAACAGACCAACCCAUUCAGUUGCGGACAACAACCUCCAUGCAAGGCCUCUCAAAGUUUUUUGGUCGAGUUAAUGAAGAGAAACACCUAGGGCGAUUACUUACCCAGGUAAACGAACAAUCCAGUCAGCCAUAUGAUGUUAUAUCAAUUGUUGGCAUUGGUGGUGUUGAAAAUUUUGAUGUCGGACGUCUAACAAAAGAAAUGGUACAGUCGGGUAAUCUCCCCAUAUGUGCUGACUUGAAAAGCAUCAGCAGUUUAGAUCAAGCUCAAUGGAUACUUGAAGAAAAGCUGAAAGGGAAAAGGAUUUUGAUAGUCCUUGAUGAUGUAUGGAAUGAAUUUAGCAGCCAAUGGGAGAACUUAUGCAAACCCCUGCAGUUUGCUGGUAAGGGAAGCAAACUUUCAUUCAUUGAGAAGGUAUCCAACCAAGAGGACCACUAUGUAGUUCACAACUUGAUACAUGAUUUUGCAGAGUCAGUCUCCAAUGGAGAGUACUUCCGAAUAGAUGAUGACUUUGAGAAGAAUUCAAGAAAUGUAUGUAUUCCGAGAAAUGUUCGUCACCUAUAUGUCACUGCAAGCAAUAUCUUGUACAUGAGCUUGGAAGAAUUCAAAGAAUCAAAAAGAAAUCUGAGAAGCUUAAUAAUAAGCAAUGCACAAGAAGGUUCUUCCAGCAAAAGGAUCGCCUCGUCAAACUUCAACCACGUUCUUGAUCAGACACUCCAAGAGCUAAGAAGCUUAAGGGUCUUAGUACUGCACAAUCCUGAUGGUAUUCUCCCAGAAAAUAUCGGUCAUUUGGAACACCUUAGGUAUUUAAACAUUCAUGAAAGUAGGAGCUUUGUCAAUGUCCCCAAGUCAUUAUUCAAACUCUACCAUUUACAAGGGUUGAGUCUGCAAACUCAAGAUAGGAUCAUGAAAAAGGAACUCCAAGAGGGCUUAAGUAGGUUGACCCAGUUAAGAUACUUGAAGGCUCAGAAGAAAACAAUUUCAGGCAUAGAAUUGAUUGGCAGGCUAAGAUCUCUCAAGGAAUUAGAGGAGUACGAAGUGGGGAGUAACAUGAAGCACAACAUAUGUCAACUGGGAGAGUUGGAUGAACUUCAAGGGAAGCUAACCAUAACAAAUCUUCAGAAUGUAAGAUGCAGGGAAGAAGCAAAUGGGGCAAAAUUAUUUAAGAAGAAGAACCUGAACAAGCUAACACUCUGGUGGAAUCAUCUUAAACAUAGCAUCACCAGUAGCGACCAUGAGAGCGUGUUUGAAGGAUUAAAACCAAAUCGCAACUUGAGAGAACUUUGUGUCAAACAUUACAUGGGAAUCAAGUCUCCUGUUUGGCUGUCCUCUGAAUACUUAUCCAACAUUCACCACAUUGAACUGCUCUCCUGCCAUAACUGGGAGAUCCUUCCACCUUUUGGGAGCUUACCCUUCCUGAGGAUAUUAAAGAUAAUGCAUUUGAAGAAACUGGAAAAUAUUGAUUCUGGAUUCUAUGGCAAAGCUGCAGAGGCAUUUCCAUCACUACAAGAGCUUCUAUUUGAAGGCAUGACUCAGUGGAAAGGAUGGUCAGGCGUUGAGAACAACCAGCAUGCAUUUUCUCGCCUGCGUGACAUCCGUAUCAAGAAAUGUAAUGAGUUAAUGGGGCCAUUGCCGUUGCCACCAUCAGUCAACAAAAUCAAAAUUUCAGUAUCUGAUUUGACCUCUAAGAAUAUAACCAGUUGUGAACCUGAAGAUACAGCUGAUGUCAACACAUUCUUCAGUGUUCAGCUUUCCCUGGACGGUUUGGAAUUUCUCAUUAGAUCUCUUCAAACAAGCAGCCUAGCCACCGUUCAUGUGCUGGAUAUCUCAUGCGACUACCUGGAGGCUCUUGACAAGGCUCAUGAGGAAUGGCUGCAACAACUCACUUCAGUGAAGGAACUUCACUUCACUGGCUGCCUAGAAUUGACAUCACUGCCAUCCAACAUGAUUCUUCUCACAUCUCUUGAGUCUCUGUACAUAGAGCAAUGUCCAAAACUUGAGUUGCUUCCCCUGAUGGGUUUGCCUCUUUCCCUGAACAAACUCACUGUCAUAAGAUGCCGGAAAACAUUUGGUCAGCUCUGCUCUGAGAUCAACACAAGUAACAACACAACGGUCAUUGUGAAGGAACCAUUAAAUGCAACAAAAAGAGCAAGGACAUGA